This 304-nucleotide ribosomal RNA is filed under the name uncultured Fibrobacterota bacterium. RNAcentral describes it as "bacterial SSU rRNA". It matches the Rfam family "Bacterial small subunit ribosomal RNA", at positions 28 to 351 of the family's 1533-position model. Lineage: Bacteria; Pseudomonadati; Fibrobacterota. The record is from RNAcentral.
GACGAACGCUGGCGGCGUGCCUAACACAUGCAAGUCUACUCAGCAAUGGGUGGCGAACGGGUGAGUAACGCGUAGAUAAUCUACCCUUUAAUCAUGGAUAACCUAGUGAAAACUGGACUAAUACAGGAUGUGAUCUUAGACCGGCAUCGGUUUGGGAUUAAAGACUACGGGUCGUUAAAGGAUGAGUCUGCGUAUCAUUAGCUAGUUGGCGGGUAACGCCACAAGGCUACGAUGAUUAGCUGGUCUGAGAGGAUGAUCAGCCACACUGGGACUGAGAUACGGCCCAGACACCUACGGGUGGCAG